AUGGAGAACCUACUACAACAGCUUAAUGAAUGGGAGAUCCGCUUGCUAGUGCUCCUCAGCUUCAUACUACAGAUGUUACUCUUCUUUACUGGUGGCCUUCGGCUGCGUAGCAGAAAUACACCGCUUAGGUUUUGCAUGUGGAUAGCAUACUUGGGAGCAGAUUUAGUAGCAGUUUAUGCCCUUGGCCUCCUCUCUCGGCACAAAGAUGCCCACAUUGGAAAGGAAAUAUUCUGGGCAGCCCAUCCACUUGCUUUUCUUUGGGCCCCUUUCCUACUGAUGCAUCUUGGUGGGCAGGACACUAUAACUGCAUUUGCCAUCGAGGACAACAACUUGUGGUUAAGGCAUUUGUUGAAUUUGGUAGUUCAAGUUGGCCUUGCUUUAUAUGUCUUUUGGGAGUCUGUAGGUCACAGCAAUGUGGUAAUUCUAGUUCCAGGCAUCUUUGUUUUUACUUCUGGAAUUAUCAAGUAUGGCGAGAGGACACUGGCUCUUAUGUAUGGGAACCUAAAAGGCAUCAACAGCUCCAGUGAAAUUGACUUGAAUUUGCAUGAAGGAUAUUUCGGAAUAAUUUCUUCAGCAUUGAAAUCAACACCAGGCAUCCGAGUGCUCUUCGAGGGCCGCACCUUGUCCCAGAUGGAAGAAAGACACCGAGAGGCACUGAGAUCCAAGAUUGAUCAGAAACAUUUGCCCAAGUUACUAGAGAUUGAACUUAACUUGAUGUAUGAUGACAUCUACACUAAGGCUAUGGUGCUUCGGUCAAGGAGUGGCAUAAUGCUCCGGUGUGUAUCUCAAGUAUCAAUGGUGGUUGCUUUUGUGCUCUUCACUGUGAACAAGAAACAUAGAUAUAGUACAGCAGAUGUUGCAAUCACAUAUAUGUUAUUUACAGGAGGCCUUUGCCUUGAAGCUUGUGCAAUAUUUAUCUUAUUGAUGUCGCCAAGGACUUGGGCUUGGUUGGAGGCUCGGGGCUACCACAGACUCAGUCGCAUCUCCUCUUUUCUCCUAUAUAGCAAGAUUGGACGCCCUGAGGGAAGGCCACUAUGGUCAAAUUGCAUGGGGCAGUACAACUUCCUGAGCUAUGUGGAUUGUGAUGUACCAAUGAAGUCCAAGUUGGUGAAGAAAGUGGCAAGGAUGAUGGUGAGCAUAGCCGGUGUUGGUGAUGGGAAGUCAUUCCUGUGGUUGAGCAAGUUACUCGAUAGCAAGCACAUCGAGGUUGAUAAGGAGAUAAUGGAUUCUAUUGUAGUUAUGGUGGAUUGUUCAGAUGGAUCAAGAGCCUUGAACCCCGAAGACUGGCCAAAUCUUGGUUCAUUAAUAGAGAAAUUAGUUCCGGACUUUGGUGCGAGCUUCGGUUAUGGCAUUGUCUGCUUCCAUAUAUUCACAGAGACACACCUAAGAAAAUAUUAUCACCCCCAGGAUUUUCUGUUAGUCGGUGUUUGCCGAAAGUUGUCAAACUACAUGCUCUACCUUCUAGUCACACAUCCAGAAAUGUUGCCGGUCAGUGGCACCACGGAACCUACCAUGAUAUUCUUCCUCGACAAAAUUACUAGUGCUGUCAGUCCCAGUUACACAGCUGAUAGAAUUCUUAGUAGCGCCAGCUCUCUGCUGCAAGAUGGUUUGGGGUUACAUCAGCCUGAGCAGCGCCAAGAAACAUUACGCGAGAUUAGAGACCUGUGGACCAGGCUACUUCUCUUCGCUGCUGGCAAGUCUCGGGCGGACAUGCAUGCUGCGCAGCUGAGCAGAGGAGGUGAACUCCUCACCUUUGCUUGGUUGCUCAUGGCCCACAAAGGAGGUGAACUCCUCACCUUUGCUUGGUUGUUACAUCUAGCUCGUCGGAUGUCACGAGCAGCGGCUAUAACAGUUUUGAAGGCCGAACAUGUUCCGUCAGAGUUGAAAAAAACCGCGGCGAGUGUGGGAAGUUGA
Molecule: ribosomal RNA, 1914 nt
Filed under: Triticum aestivum (bread wheat)
Lineage: Eukaryota; Viridiplantae; Streptophyta; Magnoliopsida; Poales; Poaceae
Description: partial small subunit ribosomal RNA
Source: RNAcentral